UUCCAAAGUGUUGAGUUCAGUUCAGGGCAGAUUCUUUGUCCUGUUAAUUCAACUUUGGGACAUUGAAACACAGGCUUGGGGAGAUGAUGGAUAGAAAGCAUUGCUCUAUUCAUUUUCCUCCCAGCCUACAAAA
This is a small nucleolar RNA of Phyllostomus discolor (pale spear-nosed bat), 133 nucleotides long. NCBI's taxonomy places the organism in Eukaryota, Metazoa, Chordata, Mammalia, Chiroptera, Phyllostomidae. The record is from RefSeq and is a predicted model, not a curated record.